RNAcentral lists this long non-coding RNA (755 nucleotides) under Pongo abelii (Sumatran orangutan). Its description in RNAcentral is "lincRNA". The record is from RNAcentral. Lineage: Eukaryota; Metazoa; Chordata; Mammalia; Primates; Hominidae.
CAGACCUUGACAGUUGUAACUGAUAGACAGGGCUGGGGCAAUGCUGAUGAAAGGCAAAUUCCUGAGAGAAAAAUCACCCAAAUUUUUCAGUGCCUUCUCUAGCUUUCUAGAAGUUGUUAUGAGUGGACCUGACUACCUAGAGAGAGUAAUACAGAAGCUCCAUGCCGAUCACAGCUACCUCAUUACCAAGUUCCUCCAAGAUGGCCGCCCCUGAGGAGAAUCAUCAACUGGGCUUUACGGAAGAGAGAAAUCCAAACGACCAUCAGCAACAAAUGAAAGACUGAAGUUGAAAGUUUCAAGAUUGUCAAGAAUGACAAGUUGGACUUGGUCUAGUUACUUCCACAGCAGCAGGAGGAACAUGUGUGUGACUCAGGAUAACUGGGGAAGCCUUGGCUAGGCUUUCCUCAUGUCAACCUACCACUCAAAGGGAGAAAACCUCCUGAUCAGAGGAGCCCAGAACCCAGGUUUGGUGGGGGUGGUUGGGGGGUGAGCCUGGAGAAACUAGAAAUCUAAGGGUGUGUGUGUGUGAACGUGUUUUGUUGUUGUUGUUGUUGUUGUUUUUGACAGGAAAUCCAUAAUUUUUGAAUGCUGGCCGAGGUCUGUGACCUCUGACUGAAUGGUUUCCAAGCUCUGAAUUCCUAGGUAUAACACUUGCUGAAGAAAGGAAAAGCUCUCUGAUUUAGGUGUAAGCAAAACAAUCUAAACAGUAGGAUAAAAUCGUGUUGGAGUGGAGUUCUGUGUGAGCGCUGUCUUUG